UCAAAGAAAGACGGAGAAGAGAACUUAUUUACUUU
RNAcentral lists this small RNA (35 nucleotides) under Arabidopsis thaliana (thale cress). Its description in RNAcentral is "ATSL075080". The record is from RNAcentral. Lineage: Eukaryota; Viridiplantae; Streptophyta; Magnoliopsida; Brassicales; Brassicaceae.